RNAcentral lists this ribosomal RNA (254 nucleotides) under uncultured bacterium. RNAcentral describes it as "partial 16S ribosomal RNA". It matches the Rfam family "Bacterial small subunit ribosomal RNA", at positions 524 to 776 of the family's 1533-position model. The record is from RNAcentral.
UACGUAGGGGGCAAGCGUUACCCGGAUUCACUGGGCGUAAAGCGCGUGUAGGCGGCUGGCCAAGCGUGGUGUGAAAUCUCCGGGCUCAACCCGGAAACUGCACUGCGAACUGGCCUGGCUGGAGUGCAGGAGAGGGAUGCGGAAUUCACGGUGUAGCGGUGAAAUGCGUAGAUAUCGUGAGGAACACCAGUGGCGAAGGCGGCAUCCUGGCCUGUAACUGACGCUGAGACGCGAAGGCGUGGGGAGCGAACCGG